GUCAUAUUCAAUCUGUGCUCACUUUCAUUUGUCAUUAUUGCCACAACAUCUAUCCACCACUAUCGAGGUUGAAGAAAGCUGUUCCUGAAAAUUGCACUUGUCAUUAGAGAGUUGUUCCAAAUUUUUGCGACUUCUGGACAAAAGAAUCAGCGGAGGCAGGACUGAUUCCGGAGCAGUAGAGCAUCGAGAACAACGUGGGUCAGCCUGAGAUGGUUUUCUAGAUUCUCUUUUCUCUAAAUUGUUCAUGGAGUAUUUUGAAGUUGGAUGGAAGAAGAGAUAUGCGAUUUGAUAGCCAGGUUUUGUAGAGUACUCACCGGAGCUAGUUUCAUGUUCCCAAAUCAUCCAUCAAUUGUUUUACCCAUAAUAAUUGUUGGUUGCCCAGCUCAUUUGAUGGAAAUCAGAAAGGGGGUUCAUCUCCGAACCAAGGAUCUUCACAUAGCUUCACCAUCCCUUGCGGAGAGAUUGGCCAUUUCAUGUCCUUUUUCAAAAUAUUUCUUCCCUCCAAGAGACUCUGCCAUGCCUAAGAUGGUCUAUUUUCUUUUUUUGCUUCAAGAAAAGAAGUUAGCCUAUAAUAUUUAUUUCUAAAGAUUUUGUAGAAUAGAGAAUGGGGCUUGAUUAAUAAUCUCCAUCCCUGUUUUGCCAACAUCACUAGAUUUAAAGUUUUUAGGUCUUUGAAUCCCAAAUUACCUUCCUGUUUAUUUCUGCUUAAUGUAUCCCAGCUGA
This is a long non-coding RNA of Arachis stenosperma, 723 nucleotides long. RefSeq lists it as uncharacterized. The record is from RefSeq and is a predicted model, not a curated record. NCBI's taxonomy places the organism in Eukaryota, Viridiplantae, Streptophyta, Magnoliopsida, Fabales, Fabaceae. The transcript has 3 exons.